Long non-coding RNA from Eriocheir sinensis (Chinese mitten crab), 1877 nucleotides. RefSeq lists it as uncharacterized. The record is from RefSeq and is a predicted model, not a curated record. Lineage: Eukaryota; Metazoa; Arthropoda; Malacostraca; Decapoda; Varunidae. The transcript is spliced from 2 exons.
GGAAGGUGAGGAUCGUUAGCCGUGGUAGGCAGUUCACCUAGGAGAGGGACAACUCCGAACAACAAACACGGGCAGGUGAGGAUCGUUAGCCGUGGUAGGCAGUUCACCUAGGAGAGGGACAACUCCGAACAACAAACACGGGCAGGUGAGGAUCGUUAGCCGUGGUAGGCAGUUCACCUAGGAGAAGGACAACUCCGAACAACAAACACGGGCAGGUGAGGAUCGUUAGCCGUGGUAGGCAGUUCACCUAGGAGAGGGACAACUCCGAACAACAAACACGGGCAGAUGGGGCUCGUUAGCCGUGGUAGGCAGUUCACCUAGGAGAAGGACAACUCCGAACAACAAACACGGGCAGGUGAGGAUCGUUAGCCGUGGUAGGCAGUUCACCUAGGAGAGGGACAACUCCGAACAACAAACACGGGCAGGUGAGGAUCGUUAGCCGUGGUAGGCAGUUCACCUAGGAGAGGGACAACUCCGAACAACAAACACGGGCAGGUGAGGAUCGUUAGCCGUGGUAGGCAGUUCACCUAGGAGAGGGACAACUCCGAACAACAAACACGGGCAGGUGAGGAUCGUUAGCCGUGGUAGGCAGUUCACCUAGGAGAAGGACAACUCCGAACAACAAACACGGGCAGGUGAGGAUCGUUAGCCGUGGUAGGCAGUUCACCUAGGAGAAGGACAACUCCGAACAACAAACACGGGAAGGUGGAGAUCGUUAGCCGUGGUAGGCAGUUCACCUAGGAGAGGGACAACUCCGAACAACAAACACGGGCAGAUGGGGCUCGUUAGCCGUGGUAGGCAGUUCACCUAGGAGAGGGACAACUCCGAACAACAAACCCGGGCAGGUGGAGCUCGUUAGCCGCAAGGUAGUUCGCCUAGGAGAGCAAACUCCGAUUACAAACCCGGGCUGGUGGAGCUCGUUAGCGUAAGGCAGUUCACCUAGGAGAGCAAACUCCGAUUACAAACCCGGGCUGGUGGAGCUCGUUAGCGUAAGGCAGUUCACCUAGGAGAGCAAACUCCGAUUACAAACCCGGGCUGGUGGAGGUCGUUAGCGUAAGGCAGUUCACCUAGGAGAGCAAACUCCGAUUACAAACCCGGGCUGGUGGAGCUCGUUAGCGUAAGGCAGUUCACCUAGGAGAGCAAACUCCGAUUACAAACCCGGGCUGGUGGAGCUCGUAAGCGUAAGGCAGUUCACCUAGGAGAAGGACAACUCCGAACAACAAACCCGGGCAGGUGGAGAUCGUUAGCCGUGGUAGGCAGUUCACCUAGGAGAAGGACAACUCCGAACAACAAACCCGGGCAGGUGGAGAUCGUUAGCCGUGGUAGGCAGUUCACCUAGGAGAGGGACAACUCCGAACAACAAACCCGGGCAGGUGGAGAUCGUUAGCCGUGGUAGGCAGUUCACCUAGGAGAGGGACAACUCCGAACAACAAACCCGGGCAGGUGGAGCUCGCUAGCCGCAAGGUAGUUCACCUAGGAGAGGAAACUCCGAUUAAAAACCCGGGCUGGUGGAGCUCGUUAGCGUAAGGCAGUUCACCUAGGAGAGCAAACUCCGAAUACAAACCCGGGCUGGUGGAGCUCGUUAGCGUAAGGCAGUUCACCUAGGAGAGCAAACUCCGAUUACAAACCCGGGCUGGUGGAGCUCGUUAGCGUAAGGCAGUUCACCUAGGAGAAGGACAACUCUGACCACAAACCCGGGCAGGAGGGGUUCGUUAGCCGUGGUAGGCAGUCCUCCUAGGAGAAGGAAAACUCCGAAAUCAAACCAACCAACCAAAUAAAUAAAUAAAAUAAAAUAAAAUAAACAAAUUAAACAAUUAAAUAAAUAAGUAAAUAAAUAAAAUACAGUAAAAUUAAAUAUAAAUAUACUACAAUACAAA